Molecule: ribosomal RNA, 312 nt
Filed under: Triticum aestivum (bread wheat)
Lineage: Eukaryota; Viridiplantae; Streptophyta; Magnoliopsida; Poales; Poaceae
Description: partial small subunit ribosomal RNA
Source: RNAcentral
AUGCAGAUUUCCGAACCUUUAGUGGGGUCCCGCGAGGAGCGCGCCGGAUCAAUCAGUAUUAUAAGUUGGAUCUGUCAUGGUUUGGGCAAUCCCAUGAAAGUUCGAGAAGUUCGCGAGCUCGCGAACAUGUUUGAACCAGACUUAAUAUGCUUAGUUGAAACUCAGUUGGACAGGGCACAUGCCAAAGUUUUAUCUUUGUCUUUCGGUUGUAAUAAAUCUUUCUCUAUUAGUAGCUCAGGGAGGAGCGGGGGUCUUGUAAUCUUUUGGGACGAUGAAAUAAAAUUGGAGAUUAAGGGUUACUCGAAGUACUAA